Phalaenopsis equestris is the source of this 209-nucleotide long non-coding RNA. RefSeq lists it as uncharacterized. The transcript is spliced from 2 exons. Lineage: Eukaryota; Viridiplantae; Streptophyta; Magnoliopsida; Asparagales; Orchidaceae. The record is from RefSeq and is a predicted model, not a curated record.
GGUGGAUGGGCUCUCACCUAGGGUGUACACCUAAAGUCUAAGAGGUCUACACUGAGGACUAAGUGGAUGGGUUCUCACCUAAGGUGUGUGCUCCUAAAACUCUAGGAAACCUACUCUUUAACUUAUGCUUAAGGUGAUUUAAGGUUUUCUAUAUCUUCCAAUUAAUUAAAUCAUCAAUCCCCAUUUUUAUGACUUAACCAUUUAAAAAA